This 1538-nucleotide long non-coding RNA is filed under the name Coturnix japonica (Japanese quail). Its description in RNAcentral is "lncRNA (ENSCJPG00005002572.1)". Lineage: Eukaryota; Metazoa; Chordata; Aves; Galliformes; Phasianidae. The record is from RNAcentral.
GCCAUUGUGUGUCUAUGGGGUCCCUAUGGGGCCGGUAUGUGUCUAUGGGUCCCUAUGGGGCCGCUGUGUUUCUAUGAGGGCCCUUAUGUGUCUAUGGGAUCCCUAUAGGGCCCUUGUGUUUCUAUGGGGUCCCUAUAGGGCCCUUGUGCGUCUAUGGGGUCCCUAUGGUGCCGCUGUGUUUCUAUGCGGUCCCUAUGGGGCCCUUAUGUGUCUAUGGGGUCCCUAUAGGGCCCUUAUGUGUCUAUGGGGUCGCUAUAGGGCCGUUGUGUGUCUAUGGGGUCACUAUAGGGCCCUUAUGUGUCUAUGGGGUCCCUAUGGGGCCGUUGUGAUUCUAUGGGGCCGCUAUAGGGCCGUUGUGUGUCUAUGGGGUCGCUAUAGGGCCGUUGUGAUUCUAUGGGGUCCUUAUAGGGCCCUUAUGUGUCUAUGGGGUCGCUAUGGGGCCGCUGUGAUUCUAUGGGGUCCUUAUAGGGCCGUUGUGAUUCUAUGGGUCCUUAUAGGGCCGUUGUGUUUCUAUGGGGUCCUUAUAGGGCCGUUGUGAUUCUAUGGGGCCGCUAUAGGGCCGUUGUGAUUCUAUGGGGUCCCUAUAGGGCCGUUGUGAUUCUAUGGGGCCGCUAUAGGGCUGCAAUGUCACAUAGUGACCACACGGUGGCGCUGUUCUAUGGGGCCGUUGUGAUUCUAUGGGGCUGUAAUGUCACAUAGUGGCCGCUUGGGGGCGCUGUUCUAUAGGGCCCUUGUGUGUCUAUGGGGUCUCUAUGGGGCCGUUGUGUGUCUAUGGGGCGGCGGUGUUUUUAUAGGGCCGCGAUGUUGACAAUGGGCGGCGGCGCGGAUCUAUGGGGUCGCUGUGUUCCUCUAUGGGGCCACUGUGUUCCUCUAUGGGGCCGCUGUUUGUCUAUGGGGCCGCUGUUUGUCUAUGGGGUUGCGGUGUUCCUAUGGGGCCGCUGUUUGUCUAUGGGGUCGCUGUGUUCCUCUAUGGGGUCGCUGUGUUCCUCUAUGGGGUCGCUGUUUGUCUAUGGGGUCGCUGUGUUCCUCUAUGGGGCCGCUGUUUGUCUAUGGGGUCGCUGUGUUCCUCUAUGGGGCCGCUGUUUGUCUAUGGGGUCGCUGUGUUCCUCUAUGGGGCCGCUGAAUAGGGGCUGAUCUAUGGGGCAGGGGUGGAUCUAUGGGGUGGGAACUGAUCUAUGGGGUGAGAAUAGGGGCUGAUCUGUGGGGUGGGAUUAGGGGCUGAUCUAUGGGGUCUGAAUAGGGGCAGAUCUAUGGGGUGGGAAUGGAUCUAUGGGGCAGGGGCCGAUCUAUGGGGCAGGGGCUGAUCUAUGGGGAGGAUCUAUAGAGCGGAUCUAUGGGGCAGGGGCUGAUCUAUGGGGCAGGGGCGGAUCUAUGGGGCUGAUCUAUGGGGCAGGGGCUGCUCUAUGGGGCUGAUCUAUGGGGCAGGGGCGGAUCUAUAGGGCGGAUCUAUGGGGCAGGGACUGAUCUAUAGGACGGAUCUAUGGGGCAGGGGCGGAUCUAUGGGGCAGGGGCUGAUCUACGGAUCUAUAGGGCGGACC